Molecule: ribosomal RNA, 447 nt
Filed under: uncultured bacterium
Lineage: Bacteria
Description: bacterial SSU rRNA
Rfam family: Bacterial small subunit ribosomal RNA
Source: RNAcentral
ACCAGACUCCUACGGGAGGCAGCAGUGGGGAAUAUUGCACAAUGGGGGAAACCCUGAUGCAGCGACGCCGCGUGAGUGAAGAAGUAUUUCGGUAUGUAAAGCUCUCUCAGCAGGGAAGAAAAUGACGGUACCUGAUUAAGAAGCCCCGGCUAACUACGUGCCAGCAGCCGCGGUAAUACGUAGGGGGCAAGCGUUAUCCGGAUUUACUGGGUGUAAAGGGAGCGUAGACGGUGAUGCAAGUCAGAAGUGAAAGCCCGGGGCUCAACUCCGGGACUGCUUUUGAAACUGUGUGACUGGAGUGCAGGAGAGGUAAGCGGAAUUCCUGGUGUAGCGGUGAAAUGCGUAGAUAUCAGGAGGAACACCAGUGGCGAAGGCGGCUUACUGGACUGUAACUGACGUUGAGGCUCGAAAGCGUGGGGAGCAAACAGGAUUAGAUACCCGAGUAGA